Molecule: ribosomal RNA, 497 nt
Filed under: uncultured bacterium
Lineage: Bacteria
Description: partial 16S ribosomal RNA
Rfam family: Bacterial small subunit ribosomal RNA
Source: RNAcentral
GAUGAACGCUGGCGGCGUGCCUAAUACAUGCAAGUCGAGCGAACGGACGAGAAGCUUGCUUCUCUGAUGUUAGCGGCGGACGGGUGAGUAACACGUGGAUAACCUACCUAUAAGACUGGGAUAACUUCGGGAAGCCGGAGCUAAUACCGGAUGAUAUUUUGAACCGCAUGGUUCAAAAGUGAAAGACGGUCUUGCUGUCACUUAUAGAUGGAUCCGCGCUGCAUUAGCUAGUUGGUAAGGUAACGGCUUACCAAGGCAACGAUGCAUAGCCGACCUGAGAGGGUGAUCGGCCACACUAGAACUGAGACACGGUCCAGACUCCUACGGGAGGCAGCAGUAGGGAAUCUUCCGCAAUGGGCGAAAGCCUGACGGAGCAACGCCGCGUGAGUGAUGAAGGUCUUCGGAUCGUAAAACUCUGUUAUUAGGGAAGAACAUAUGUGUAAGUAACUGUGCACAUCUUGACGGUACCUAAUCAGAAAGCCACGGCUAACUACGUG